GACUUAUUGGUCCAACCAACUCCAUUUCCUCCUUUUUUGGGUGAUCAACAUUCACCUUCGUGGGUCUUCAUCCCUUCAAUCAACUUAUAGAUUGUGUUCUCUUGUGGAUAAGGAUUAUCUCCUUUUUUGGUGAUUUUAUAAGGUCCUUCGUCUUUUGGGAGAAGCACCUUAGGUACACUUUUAACUUCAUUCUUGACUUUCUUUUUUCUUCUUCAUAUUCUUCGUACUUGUUUAUCUUCAAGGUGUAGGUGGUAUAAGAUAAUGGAAUGCUCAGAAUCACCAGACCCUUUCAGUGAAUGUCAAUUCCCAGGUGCCAAUCUGACCUAAUGACUCUCCCUUUUUGUUGCGAGUCCUUUUUGCAUGCUGAAUUUCUAUAGGCUAUAUUACUGUUUACUUGUUUUUGUUAUCGUGUGGCCUACAUAUAGUCUUAUGAUAGACCUAAGUUGUAGCCCUCCCUCUACAUUUUACUCUUUUGUUAAAGAAACUCUGACAGAUGAUAAGGCAAGAAAUUUCAUCCCGCAAACGCAAUUCAAUAGAGAAGUGUGCGUUCCACCUAACCUGGUGACUUUCCUUAGCCAUUUAUUGCGUGUUUAUUGACGAAGUUAAUGACAAGUCCUAAUUUUAAUUUAGAAUUUCACAAGUAUCGGGUGAGUAGAAUAAGGAUAAGAGAAUGCAUGUUUAUCGCAAGGUAAUCCCACGCAUACACUUUAGAUCCUCAUUCAUGUUUACCCUGUUUGGAUAUCAUUUUUAGCCUAUUUCUCAUAGACAAGGAAACAUUCACUUUUAAUCAACCAUAUCAAAAAAAAGCAACUCAUGGCAA
This 820-nucleotide unclassified non-coding RNA is filed under the name Hevea brasiliensis (rubber tree). The record is from RNAcentral. Lineage: Eukaryota; Viridiplantae; Streptophyta; Magnoliopsida; Malpighiales; Euphorbiaceae.